GACAGGUUCAGAUUUUCCUUUGGCCAGUUAAAAACCACCUUGGAAAAAUCUGGAGAUAUUGAUAGCCUAGGAUAUCUCUUGUUUAAAGACAAAUAGUCUCUUUGAACAUCCACCAAGCAGAAAGGAUAAACCUUGCAGACAUAUUCUCUCUUUUUCUCUUUAACUGGAGAAUGGCGCCUAUGCACAGUCUCACGGCGUGGUGUGAUUCGACGUGAAGAUCUUUCAUCUCUCGGUAAUGAAGAGCCUUGGCGAUCUCUGGUACUCCUUGGCGGACUGCGUUCCCGCCUAGGAGCAGUUGCACGCUUGCGAUCUCGUUCUCUCUCCCUAUCCCUGUCUCUGCGCUCCCGAACACGAUCUCUUUCCCGUUCUCGUUCGCGUUCAC
RNAcentral lists this unclassified non-coding RNA (382 nucleotides) under Hevea brasiliensis (rubber tree). The record is from RNAcentral. Lineage: Eukaryota; Viridiplantae; Streptophyta; Magnoliopsida; Malpighiales; Euphorbiaceae.